Small nucleolar RNA from Arabis alpina (gray rockcress), 89 nucleotides. It matches the Rfam family "Small nucleolar RNA Z122". From Rfam's summary of the family: Z122 is a member of the C/D class of snoRNA which contain the C (UGAUGA) and D (CUGA) box motifs. Most of the members of the box C/D family function in directing site-specific 2'-O-methylation of substrate RNAs. NCBI's taxonomy places the organism in Eukaryota, Viridiplantae, Streptophyta, Magnoliopsida, Brassicales, Brassicaceae. The record is from Rfam.
UUUGGGAAGUGAUGAUAAGAUAUAUCGAUUAUGUCAUAGGCAUAUGCGAUGCUGAACAACAUAUAUUUGCACGUCAGUCUGAUCCCAAU